ACUAUAACUCAUCACAGCAACAGUCGCAUUCUGACCAGCCCCUAGUUUAUCAUACCCAACCAGCUCGAUUGUUCUUGUAGUCAGUAAAGGGCGUUGAGGAUACACCAAAAGGUAGAGCAAACCAUCCAUCCGAUUCAACUGGUUAUAGGCAAUGUUUCCCAUAGCUUGCUUACCCAUAGCACACUGAUAGGUAUUCCUGGGGGACUGAUUGUGAUGCGGAUAAGGUAUCAAACCAGCACAAACACCUAAGAUUGUGAAAGGCUCAAUCUCAAUAUGUGUUGUCUCUGGUGUCGCCUCCUUUUCGUAUAGAGCAAUCAAUGUGUUGUUCUCCUCGUUGACAUCAAGAUAUUCUAUCAAACCAUCCUUUAGAAAGCUGUCGAAGUCACGCAAACCAUCCCUCAACUCUCUCAUGUGGUGCUCUUUGAUCCUGGAAACACCUUUGUCAGCAAUGACAAGCGGACGACAAACACGUCCACCAUCUGAAGCAAUGUAGACACACCGCUGCUUUUCAUUCACGAAGAUGCUUACAAACUCCCCAACUUUACCAGCCCUCCGUAGCCUCCUCAUUGCAUUAGCAAAUCGCUGAGGACUCUUGUGCUUGCCUAGAAUAAGUCCAUUUAAUGUGAUAAGAUAGGAAGUUGGCAUGUGAAGCUCUUCUGGCGAAAGCUGUUCCAAGUCCUCAACACCCAAGCAGUAGCACAAAGACAUGAUUGGGCGCUCAUCCUCAUCAGUCGUAACAUGAGUCAUCAAGGCCAAGUUUUUCACCAAUCCACAAGCUUCACCUUCUGG
RNAcentral lists this unclassified non-coding RNA (789 nucleotides) under Hevea brasiliensis (rubber tree). The record is from RNAcentral. Lineage: Eukaryota; Viridiplantae; Streptophyta; Magnoliopsida; Malpighiales; Euphorbiaceae.